RNAcentral lists this long non-coding RNA (622 nucleotides) under Ailuropoda melanoleuca (giant panda). RNAcentral describes it as "lncRNA (ENSAMEG00000026425.1)". Lineage: Eukaryota; Metazoa; Chordata; Mammalia; Carnivora; Ursidae. The record is from RNAcentral.
CUGCUAACUAUGUAUCAGGCACUGUUCUAAGUCCUUCUUAUGUACUAACUCAUCUAACCAGCAGAAAAACAUUUUUGGACUAGUCCUUCACUAAAAUAGCCCAGUGAGAAACCGUACUUUUUUUUUUUUCUCAGUUGGUGACAUUGCAACCCGAAAUCACAACUCCGUUUUAGGUUCCUGGUGGUGCCUGCUUCCUCUUCUAGUUUGUUUAGUCACAGAAUUCGAUUCCUGUUGGCCGGUUACGCGCCUACAAACAGGCUUAGCGCUCUAUUGAAAUGCGUGAGGCUCCUUAACUCUUGUAUAAACAGAAACCAGCUGUAACUUUAGGUCAGGGCGCAUUAAAAUGAGCCGCUUCUGAACGAGCAGCGCCCAGGCCCCAGGCCCUGCUGCGAAGGCCCCGGCAAAGGUCAGGGUUUCGGCCGCGUGACGUUCUUUCCUGCGCCCGUCCAAGCGCUGCUGUGCCUCAGCUCAGGUGACAGGCGUUUGGGGGACACCUUGCAUCGGGUCACCCGAAAGAGAUCAGCCCUUCCUGGGCUCACUGAGGAGGUUUGGUAAGUCAGGCUGGCUUCAUUUCACCAUGGCUCAAAUGAACAUAAUCCAGGGGUGGAAAAAAGUAGGUGAC